GGGGUGAGUAACGCGUGGGUAACCUGCCCUAUACACAUGGAUAACAUACUGAAAAGUUUACUAAUACAUGAUAAUAUAUAUUUACGGCAUCGUAGAUAUAUCAAAGUGUUAGCGGUAUAGGAUGGACCCGCGUCUGAUUAGCUAGUUGGUGAGAUAACUGCCCACCAAGGCGACGAUCAGUAGCCGACCUGAGAGGGUGAUCGGCCACAUUGGAACUGAGACACGGUCCAAACUCCUACGGGAGGCAGCAGUU
Molecule: ribosomal RNA, 253 nt
Filed under: uncultured Peptostreptococcus sp.
Lineage: Bacteria; Bacillati; Bacillota; Clostridia; Peptostreptococcales; Peptostreptococcaceae
Description: partial 16S ribosomal RNA
Rfam family: Bacterial small subunit ribosomal RNA
Source: RNAcentral